GAAUUUUGCGCAAUGGGCGAAAGCCUGACGCAGCAAUGCCGCGUGAGUGAUGAAGGCCUUCGGGUCGUAAAGCUCUGUCAGAGGGGAAGAACCUCCUGUCGGUUAAUACCCGGCAGGCUUGACGGUACCCUCAAAGGAAGCACCGGCUAACUCCGUGCCAGCAGCCGCGGUAAUACGGAGGGUGCAAGCGUUGUUCGGAAUUAUUGGGCGUAAAGCGCGUGCAGGCGGCUCGCUAAGUCUGAUGUGAAAGCCCCGGGCUCAACACGGGAAGUGCAUUGGAAACUGGCGAACUUGAGUACGGGAGAGGGAAGUGGAAUUCCGAGUGUAGGGGUGAAAUCCGUAGAUAUUCGGAGGAACACCAGUGGCGAAGGCGGCUUCCUGGACCGAUACUGACGCUGAGACGCGAAAGCGUGGGGAGCAAACAGG
RNAcentral lists this ribosomal RNA (426 nucleotides) under uncultured bacterium. RNAcentral describes it as "bacterial SSU rRNA". It matches the Rfam family "Bacterial small subunit ribosomal RNA", at positions 359 to 776 of the family's 1533-position model. The record is from RNAcentral.